This is a non-coding RNA of Pimephales promelas (fathead minnow), 1035 nucleotides long. NCBI's taxonomy places the organism in Eukaryota, Metazoa, Chordata, Actinopteri, Cypriniformes, Leuciscidae. The record is from RefSeq and is a predicted model, not a curated record.
GUAGCUAACAAACAUCUGUUCGUGCAGACAUACAGACUGUCAUAAAAUGAUUUGUCAAAAGAAGUAUUUUUCUGCUGAAGUAGUUAUUCGAGAUCACUCGAAGAUGGAUUAUGUCGACAUUGAUGAGAAGAUGAGUGAUGAGAAGAUCGUGACGACGGUGAUAAUUAUGCUUGAGGGCGGAAAAGAUUAUCCAAUUUUCGCCAUCAAGUUGAAUCUUCAGAUGAAGAAUGGCAUCCAAGCACCAGCCAGAGAUGCAAGCUCUCAGUUUCUUCACUAUUCUUCACUUUUUCCAUACUUUUCAGAACAUUGCAAUUGACAAGAGGAUGGUGGCAUCAAAAGCUAGGAAUGGACUAAAGCAAUAUAUGAAGGCCAAGCCAACAAAGUACAGUAUUUAUAUCACUUGUAUUUUCUAUGGCAAAGAACCUCAGUUAUUUAUUUUUUAUAUUUCAUAAUAUUUUACUUAUGUAUUUUACAUAUAUUUUUUUGUUCUGUUGUGCAAAUAAAUCACUUGCAUAAAGUCUAAUGGUUGUGUGUAUUAUUUUAUAAUUGCAUUAUUUUAUGAAUUGACUGAAAUAGCUUGCAGUGCCCUGCAUAACAUUUGGUCAUUAGGUUGCUUUUUGAUGUAUCCAAGGAGGUUUCUUGGUACCUGGACAUAGUCUUGGAAAAAAUAUUGUAGGAAUCUCAUUUUUCAUAAUAUCUUCCUCAAAUUUGAAAUAUAAACUGAUGAGACUUAUGUCUUUCAAUCAAUUACCUAACUGGAUUCCUACAGGUUUGUUUUCAUUUAUUUUUACAUGAAAUUGUAAAAUAUUACAUGCAGUAUAAAUUAUCUUCAAGACACUUUAAAUUCUAUAACUUUUUGUCUGUGUAAGUUUUUUCAACUUUAACAGUUGGUUAAUACACUCUAAAGUGUCUUCUUUUUAAACAUGUCUAAAUUGUGCAUGUAGUGCAAAUAGUUGAGCAACUGCAAAUAUUUUAGUUUGGGCAUGUUAUUUCUGGGGAUGUGCCUCAGGCAGGGGGAGGGAGAAAGGGAACUGA